GGCGUCGAGCGGCGGACGGGUGAGUAAUGCCUAGGAAAUUGCCCUGGUGUGGGGGAUAACCAUUGGAAACGAUGGCUAAUACCGCAUAAUACCUUCGGGUCAAAGAGGGGGACCUUCGGGCCUCUCGCGUCAGGAUAUGC
RNAcentral lists this ribosomal RNA (140 nucleotides) under Vibrio harveyi. RNAcentral's name for it is "partial 16S ribosomal RNA". It matches the Rfam family "Bacterial small subunit ribosomal RNA", at positions 87 to 230 of the family's 1533-position model. Lineage: Bacteria; Pseudomonadati; Pseudomonadota; Gammaproteobacteria; Vibrionales; Vibrionaceae. The record is from RNAcentral.